Molecule: ribosomal RNA, 334 nt
Filed under: uncultured bacterium
Lineage: Bacteria
Description: bacterial SSU rRNA
Rfam family: Bacterial small subunit ribosomal RNA
Source: RNAcentral
ACCAAAUAGAUACCCGGGUAGUCCACGCCCUAAACGAUGCGAACUGGAUGUUGGGUACAUUACGGUACUCAGUGUCGAAAGCUAAACGCGUUAAGUUCGCCGCCUGGGGAGUACGGUCGCAAGACUGAAACUCAAAGGAAUUGACGGGGGCCCGCACAAGCGGUGGAGUAUGUGGUUUAAUUCGAUGCAACGCGAAGAACCUUACCUGGCCUUGACAUCUGUCGAAUCCUGCAGAGAUGCGGGAGUGCCGCAAGGAACGACAAGACAGGUGCUGCAUGGCUGUCGUCAGCUCGUGUCGUGAGAUGUUGGGUUAAGUCCCGCAACGGAGCGACCU